GUCUAUGGCCAUGCCACGUUGAACAAGCCCGAUCCCUUCUGAUCUCAGAAGUUAAGCAGGGUUGGGCCUAGUUAGUACUUGCAUGGGAGACCACCUAGGAAGACCAGGUGCUGUAGGUA
Molecule: ribosomal RNA, 119 nt
Filed under: Pteropus alecto (black flying fox)
Lineage: Eukaryota; Metazoa; Chordata; Mammalia; Chiroptera; Pteropodidae
Source: RNAcentral